GAUGAAUUUGGAUCUCAUUAGAAUGAUUCGAAGUUCUCGUGUAGAGUUAAGAACCCCGUGCAAUAAAAUGCUAGACAAGGAAUAAUAAUAUUCGCAUAAAAGCAGUACUCGAACAAAAAUACUUGGAAUUGUUGGCCGCUGAGAAAAUCAACAUGGCAACUGAAUCAGCGAUAUGUUACAGCUUUUAUCACAAUCGCAUUCCAAAAGAUGUAAAACUGAUAAAACUCAGUAUGAAAUGUAAUUCCAUAUGCCCAUUAUUCUUUGGCCCAAGCUUGCUGGGGAACGUGAUCCUAACAACACAUUGCAAAUUCAUUAUAGACCUAACUACAAGUUUUAAAUCAACCA
Molecule: long non-coding RNA, 345 nt
Organism: Juglans microcarpa x Juglans regia
Lineage: Eukaryota; Viridiplantae; Streptophyta; Magnoliopsida; Fagales; Juglandaceae
Exons: 2
Source: RefSeq, a predicted model, not a curated record